CACCGGGCUGGCGGGCGUCCAGGCGGGACAUGGCGGGUUGUGCAGCCCGGCGGGCCCUGGCUGUGGGCAGUCGCUGCUGGUCCCGGUCGUUGACCGGAGCCCGCGGGCCGAGGCCGUUCUGUGCGGCGCGGGGAGCAGGGGCCUUCCCUCCAGCGGCGACCACGACGGCGCGGAGGCAUCUCUCAUCCCGAAACCGACCAGAGGGCAAAGUGCUGGAAACGGCCGGUGUGUUUGAGGUGCCGAAACAGAAUGGAAAAUAUGAAACUGGUCAGCUUUUCCUUCACAGUGUUUUUGGCUACCGAGGCGUCGUCCUGUUUCCCUGGCAGGCCCGACUCUAUGACCGCGAUGUGGCUUCUGCAGCUCCAGAAAAGCAGAGAACCCUGCUGGCCACGGCUCUAAGGAGGUGAAAGGCACCCGGACUUACUACCAGGUGCUGAUUGACGCCCGUGACUGUCCACAUGUACCCCAGAGAUCUCAGACAGAAGCUGUGACCUUCUUGGCCAACCAUGAUGACAGCCGAGCUCUCUCUGCCAUCCCUGGCCUGGACUAUGUCAGUCAUGAGUACCUCCUCCCUACAUCUCCACCAACCAUGUUCCCAUCCAACACGAGCUCUUUGAAAGGUUUCUCCUGUAUGACCACACUAAAGCGCCCCCCUUUGUGGCUCGGGAGACACUGCGGGCCAGGCAAGAGAAGAAUUACCCCUGGCUGGAGCUUUCUGGCGUCAACCAGGAAACAACGGAGAAUAUCCGUGUCACGGUCAUCCCCUUCUGCAUGGGCGUGAGGGAAGCUCAGAAUUGCCACGUUUACUGGUGACGCUAUUGCAUCCGCCUGGAAAACUUCGACAGUGAUGUGGUGCAGCUCCGGGAGCGGCACUGGAGGAUAUUAAGCCUCUCUAGCACCCUGGAAACAGUGAGAGGCCGAGGCGAGGUGGGCAGGGAAACAGUGCUAUCCAAGGAGCAGCCGGCAUUCCAGCAUAGCAGCCACGUCUCCCUGCAAGCUUCCAGUGGGCACAUGUGGGGCACGUUCCGCUUUGGGAGACCUGAGGGUUCCCACUUUGAUGUCCGGAUCCCACCCUUCUCCCUGGGAAGCAAUAAAGAUGAGAAGACACCACCCUCAGGCCUUCACUGGUAGGCCAGCUGAGGCCGAGAGCUUGGCCCAGCUCACCAGAGGAACAUAUCACAUCCCGCACUUGCUGCAGACUCUUCUCUC
Ochotona princeps (American pika) is the source of this 1209-nucleotide RNA transcript. It is a transcript of the gene named polymerase delta-interacting protein 2-like, with no coding region annotated. The transcript has a single exon. The record is from RefSeq and is a predicted model, not a curated record. Lineage: Eukaryota; Metazoa; Chordata; Mammalia; Lagomorpha; Ochotonidae.